This 468-nucleotide ribosomal RNA is filed under the name uncultured bacterium. RNAcentral's name for it is "partial 16S ribosomal RNA". It matches the Rfam family "Bacterial small subunit ribosomal RNA", at positions 28 to 507 of the family's 1533-position model. The record is from RNAcentral.
GACGAACGCUGGCGGCGUGCUUAACACAUGCAAGUCGAACGGAAAGGCCCUGCUUUUGUGGGGCGCUCGAGUGGCGAACGGGUGAGUAACACGUGAGUAACCUGCCCUUGACUUUGGGAUAACUUCAGGAAACAGGGGCUAAUACCGGAUAGGAGCUCUUGCUGCAUGGUGGGGGAUGGAAAGUUUCGGUGGUUGUGGAUGGUUUCGCGGCUUACCGGCUUGUUGGUGGGGUAGUGGCUUACCAAGGUUUUGACGGGUAGCCGGCCUGGGAGGGGGACCGGGCUCAUGGGUACUACGGGACGCCCCAGACGGCAACGGGAGGCAGCGGUGGGAAGUAUUACGCAGUGGGGGGAAGCCUGAGACGGCAGCGCCGCGUUCGGAAUAACGUCCUACGAGUGGUAAACCGCUUUCGCCUGUGACGAGGCGUGAGUGACGGUAAUUGAUAAAGAAGCACCGGCUAACUACGUG